UCUCUCUCUCUCUCUCUCUCUCUCUCUCUCUCUCUCUAAGCUCGCUCUCGCUUGUGUAUACUUGAACUUUGUUGUCUUUUCAGUUGAAUCACUCUCUCUUCUAUCUCUCGAAAAAAUCCAGUUCGAUCUCCCAAAGAGCACAUAUUCAAUUCGAGCUCCUUCUCCUCUUCACUUCCGGUCUCUCUUUCUGGGUUCGUUCAGCUCCUAAUUGGAAGCUUUUUCGACUAUCCUCCUUUGCUUCUCUUCUCCUGGGUUUUGAACGAUGUCCAGACCUGGUGCUUCCCCCCAUCCAAUCGGUGCUUCUUUCUGCUCAUGCGUGAAUUGAGCGUCUCCAUUAUUGAAGCUGGUGGUUUCUUUUGGUUGUUUGGAGCUCGAGAAUUGAACCGAAGAAAGGCUUGUACAGACAGAACAAGAGUGACGACGCUGGUUUUGAGGGAUCCAAAUCGGUCGAUUGUUGAACAGAGCCAGUCGAUUCAAGCACAGAGGAAGUCUUGAAGAGAAACGUUCGUCUUAACUCUUUUGGGGGUUGGAGAAACGAGAUCUUGCAUGGUGUGUGUUGAUACCGAUAUGACUGUACAAGUAUAGAUAUUCGCAGCAUGGCAUGAUCCUGUCAUAUUCUUCAUUCGUGUAACUUAGUCUCUUUGUUUUUGAAUUUUUUGUGCUUUCUUGUUCCCCUUCCAAUUAGAUGAUUUUCUCAAGUA
This is a long non-coding RNA of Syzygium oleosum, 701 nucleotides long. RefSeq lists it as uncharacterized. NCBI's taxonomy places the organism in Eukaryota, Viridiplantae, Streptophyta, Magnoliopsida, Myrtales, Myrtaceae. The record is from RefSeq and is a predicted model, not a curated record. The transcript has 2 exons.